Maylandia zebra (zebra mbuna) is the source of this 310-nucleotide non-coding RNA. The record is from RefSeq and is a predicted model, not a curated record. NCBI's taxonomy places the organism in Eukaryota, Metazoa, Chordata, Actinopteri, Cichliformes, Cichlidae.
GGGACCUUCAAGGACCACCCACCAGCCACUGGGCCUUUUAUGACAGGAACAGGAACCACAGAGCGUCAGCCGCACACAUCGAAGCUGCACAGGGCACACGCGGCACCACGCAGAAUAAAUGACGUUCCUGGGCCAAGGCCGAAGCCCAGCCACCCGCUGCCUCCUCGCCGCCUCCUCCUGGGACCUUCAAGGACCACCCACCAGCCACUGUACACCCUGAAGCCGUGUGUGGACCAGGAGAUCAGCAGAACAGGAACCACAGAGCGUCAGCGGCAGACAUCCAAGCUGCACAGGGCACACGCAGCACCAG